RNAcentral lists this long non-coding RNA (534 nucleotides) under Apteryx haastii (Great spotted kiwi). RNAcentral's name for it is "lncRNA (ENSAHAG00000013196.1)". Lineage: Eukaryota; Metazoa; Chordata; Aves; Apterygiformes; Apterygidae. The record is from RNAcentral.
UGAGCUAGCGAAGCGGCAAUGUUAGUUUAGAUAGCCUAAUAUGGCACACAAUGCAGAGGAAGACUCCAGCCUUCAUCCCCACGACCACCAGAGGGCUGAAGAAGACCCCCUAGCAACAGCCGGCGCAACCGCAGAAGUUACAGGAGGUGCCCUGUAUACCCAGAACUGGAAUCUCAUAUAAGGAGACUGUGAGGGGGGGGUUGCAUGCACCGUUGGUGGAGCAGGAGACUCCCCCCCGGCCGCCCAGUGCUGUUUUGCUUACUUGUGACUUGCUCAAUUAUUUUAUAAAUUGGAAUUGAUGCAACCCGGCCCAAGUGGUGGUCAAUUUGUCACGUUUACCUAUAACAGCACUGUCCUAGCAGGCACUGAGCUACCACUGACCUCACAACCACAAAGAGCAGCCAUGGGCCUAGCACUGGCCUAUCAGGCACUGAGACACAAUGACCUCACAGUUGAAAACAGCAGCCAUGGGCCUAGCACUGGCCUAUCAGGCACUGAGCCACAAGUGACCUCACAACCAGAAACAGCAGCCAU